RNAcentral lists this non-coding RNA (29 nucleotides) under Rattus norvegicus (Norway rat). The record is from RNAcentral. Lineage: Eukaryota; Metazoa; Chordata; Mammalia; Rodentia; Muridae.
UGACUAUUUUGUAUGUUUGAUACUGUUGC